Molecule: ribosomal RNA, 472 nt
Filed under: uncultured bacterium
Lineage: Bacteria
Description: partial 16S ribosomal RNA
Rfam family: Bacterial small subunit ribosomal RNA
Source: RNAcentral
GACGAACGCUGGCGGCGUGCUUAACACAUGCAAGUCGAACGCUGAAGCUUGGUGCUUGCACUGGGUGGAUGAGUGGCGAACGGGUGAGUAAUACGUGAGUAACCUGCCCUUGACUCUGGGAUAAGCCUGGGAAACUGGGUCUAAUACUGGAUACGACAUGUCACCGCAUGGUGGUGUGUGGAAAGGGUUUUACUGGUUUUAGAUGGGCUCACGGCCUAUCAGCUUGUUGGUGGGGUAAUGGCUCACCAAGGCGACGACGGGUAGCCGGCCUGAGAGGGUGACCGGCCACACUGGGACUGAGACACGGCCCAGACUCCUACGGGAGGCAGCAGUGGGGAAUAUUGCACAAUGGGCGAAAGCCUGAUGCAGCGACGCCGCGUGAGGGAUGACGGCCUUCGGGUUGUAAACCUCUUUCAGCACGGAAGAAGCGAAAGUGACGGUACGUGCAGAAGAAGCGCCGGCUAACUACGUG